This 324-nucleotide unclassified non-coding RNA is filed under the name Hevea brasiliensis (rubber tree). The record is from RNAcentral. Lineage: Eukaryota; Viridiplantae; Streptophyta; Magnoliopsida; Malpighiales; Euphorbiaceae.
AAUUUACCAGAGAGAAUGUACGUGUGUUCACUAUUUUAUUUCCCUUGUCAAUGUGCCAAUCUACUAUUUCUUAUGGACUUUUAUAUUAUCUUCUUAAAAAACAAUGUCAAAUGUCAAUUUGUCCAAUAAAUGGGCAAUGUAUAUAUACAUAUAAGUGUCACUUGUCAAUCUGCAUUGUGAAUUUUGAAAUUUUAUGUGUACUUUCUGAAUCUUCUAUGCAGUGGGAGUAAUAGAAGCUUACUGAUCCUAAAUUGGGGAAUGCUAGCUACCAUAAAUAAGUUGGAUUUUCUUUUGAUGCAGAUUUGGAUAUACAAUUGAAAAAAU